GCACAAGCGGUGGAGCAUGUGGUUCAAUUCGACGCAACGCGAAGAACCUUACCUGGGCUCGAAAUGCAGUGGACCGGGGUAGAAAUAUCCCUUCCCCUUAAAAGGCUGCUGCAUAGGUGCUGCAUGGCUGUCGUCAGCUCGUGUCGUGAGAUGUUGGGUUAAGUCCCGCAACGAGCGCAACCCUUAUCCCUAGUUGCCAUCGGGUCAAGCCGGGCACUCUAGUGAAACUGCCUGGGAUAACCAGGAGGAAGGUGGGGAUGACGUCAAGUCCUCAUGGCCUUUAUGUCCAGGGCUACACACGUGCUACAAUGGUCGGUACAAACCGUCGCAAACCCGCGAGGGGGAGCUAAUCGGAAAAAGCCGGCCUCAGUUCGGAUUGGAGUCUGCAACUCGACUCCAUGAAGCUGGAAUCGCUAGUAAUCGCGGAUCAGAACGCCGCGGUGAAUACGUUCCCGGGC
This 458-nucleotide ribosomal RNA is filed under the name uncultured bacterium. RNAcentral's name for it is "bacterial SSU rRNA". It matches the Rfam family "Bacterial small subunit ribosomal RNA", at positions 923 to 1379 of the family's 1533-position model. The record is from RNAcentral.